RNAcentral lists this ribosomal RNA (294 nucleotides) under uncultured bacterium. Its description in RNAcentral is "partial 16S ribosomal RNA". It matches the Rfam family "Bacterial small subunit ribosomal RNA", at positions 30 to 327 of the family's 1533-position model. The record is from RNAcentral.
AUUGAACGCUGGCGGCAUGCCUUACACAUGCAAGUCGAACGGCAGCACGGGAGCAAUCCUGGUGGCGAGUGGCGAACGGGUGAGUAAUAUAUCGGAACGUGCCCAGUCGUGGGAUAACGUAGCGAAAGCUACGCUAAUACCGCAUACGAUCUAUGGAUGAAAGCGGGGGAUCGCAAGACCUCGCGCGAUUGGAGCGGCCGAUAUCAGAUUAGGUAGUUGGUGAGGUAAAGGCUCACCAAGCGACGAUCUGUAGCUGGUCUGAGAGGACGACCAGCCACACUGGGACUGAGACAC